UUUCAAUGCCAUCAAGCCUUGUAUACUACACAUGGUUCCUAAACAUUUAACUAGAGAUUCCAGUACUGGAGUGGCCAUUCUCCCUGAUAUGUGUUGUCAUGAUUUCCCAAUGUGGUUCCUCUGGAAGGAAUCCUAUACUUAUGUUGGAGUCUUUCAUCCACUUUCAUCCAAUGUAGUGAUAUUUUUACUUCUUUUGAUAGAACUAUAAUCUGAACCCAAUUCUGAUCUUCUUGAAUAAAUUGAGUCAGGAA
Non-coding RNA from Pelobates cultripes (western spadefoot toad), 251 nucleotides. Lineage: Eukaryota; Metazoa; Chordata; Amphibia; Anura; Pelobatidae. The record is from the annotation of a GenBank genome assembly.